CAGCAAACUGGUGGUCGGGGGCUUGCCCCUCUCCUGGUUUCCCUAGUAAUCAAUGAGCCAACCAAAUGUCAAUUACCCCAUAACUGGCAAUUUCCCACUGCCUGAGAGGGAAGCUAGCCACCAUGUUCUGCCCUCCAUCUCCUGCACACAGUGAGGUGUUGCUGUGGGACCUUGCUUCAGACCUGUAAGUUGCAGUUCCUGCUUUUAAAAUUCUGUUAUUCCAGAAAAAGUCAUGUGUAUGGGUGUAAUGAUGCAAACCUUGACAGCACUCUGGAAUAAGCUGUGUAGCAGGCAACACUUGAGUGAGAAGGAAAGACUGAUCCACAAAAAUAUGGAAAUGUGAAUUUUCCUUUAGAACACACUUUUCCAGAAGAAACAAGGACUCUAAUGGGAGUGUUUUAGAUAUUGUUUCUCUGUUCCGCUAUGUAAUAGCAGGAAAAUACUGAAUAAUACAAUUCAGUAAAGUUUCAUAUUUUUAUGAGCAGUUUUAUUAGAAGUACCACUAUUUUUCUAAAUAGCAUUAUUAUUAGUCUUUGGAUUGUGAAGACCAUGAAUAUGUCAAGAAUGAUACAAUCACUUUCACUUAUAGUCCAAGGUACACAAAAUCAAAUACUGAAUCAGAGGACAGCCUCUGCUGUGAUUUCAGUUCCUGUUGAGUGGCCAGACU
Long non-coding RNA from Bos taurus (domestic cattle), 667 nucleotides. NCBI's taxonomy places the organism in Eukaryota, Metazoa, Chordata, Mammalia, Artiodactyla, Bovidae. The record is from Ensembl.